RNAcentral lists this ribosomal RNA (603 nucleotides) under Klebsiella pneumoniae. Its description in RNAcentral is "bacterial LSU rRNA". It matches the Rfam family "Bacterial large subunit ribosomal RNA", at positions 1271 to 1860 of the family's 2925-position model. The record is from RNAcentral. Lineage: Bacteria; Pseudomonadati; Pseudomonadota; Gammaproteobacteria; Enterobacterales; Enterobacteriaceae.
UGCUGGAGGUAUCAGAAGUGCGAAUGCUGACAUAAGUAACGAUAAAGCGGGUGAAAAGCCCGCUCGCCGGAAGACCAAGGGUUCCUGUCCAACGUUAAUCGGGGCAGGGUGAGUCGACCCCUAAGGCGAGGCCGAAAGGCGUAGUCGAUGGGAAACAGGUUAAUAUUCCUGUACUUGGUGUUACUGCGAAGGGGGGACGGAGAAGGCUAUGUUAGCCGGGCGACGGUUGUCCCGGUUUAAGCAUGUAGGCUGGUUGUCCAGGCAAAUCCGGAUAAUCAAGGCUGAGGUGUGAUGACGAGGCACUACGGUGCUGAAGUAACAAAUGCCCUGCUUCCAGGAAAAGCCUCUAAGCAUCAGGUAACAUCAAAUCGUACCCCAAACCGACACAGGUGGUCAGGUAGAGAAUACCAAGGCGCUUGAGAGAACUCGGGUGAAGGAACUAGGCAAAAUGGUGCCGUAACUUCGGGAGAAGGCACGCUGGUGUGUAGGUGAAGCCCCUGCGGGUGGAGCUGAGACCAGUCGAAGAUACCAGCUGGCUGCAACUGUUUAUUAAAAACACAGCACUGUGCAAACACGAAAGUGGACGUAUACGGUGUGACGCCU